Podarcis lilfordi (Lilford's wall lizard) is the source of this 76-nucleotide non-coding RNA. NCBI's taxonomy places the organism in Eukaryota, Metazoa, Chordata, Lepidosauria, Squamata, Lacertidae. The record is from the annotation of a GenBank genome assembly.
GGGAAGAACUGUAGCUUAGUGGUAGAGCAUCUGCUUCCCAUGCAAAAAGUCCCAGGUUCAAUUCCUGGUGUCCUCA